GUGGGGAGAGAGGGAGACGUAGAAUCCAAAGCAGGCUCCAGGCUCUGAGCUGUCAGCACAGAGCCCCACGUGGGGCUUGAAUUCAUGAACCAUGAGAUCAUGACCUGAGCCGAAGUCAGACACUUAACUGACUGAGCCACCCAGGCAACCCUAGAAGAUACUAACUCUUAGUUAAACUUCUCUCAUUUCUUUUCCAUGGAAAGUUCAAAAUUCUAAAAUUCAAGAUGUUAAAACGUUAGAGAUUUAAAUUUGUCCAUUUUUUUUUCAUGGAUAAAGCAUAUUAAAUUCUGCUCUCGGCAUAGAAUUCAAUUCAGCAAGCAUUUGUUAAAAAAUUAAUAUUUAAACAUUUAAAAAAUUUAAAAUUUAUGAAAACCUUUCACUCAUUCUUUCUGUCAUAUUAAAUCCCAGUUUUUCUUUCUGCUUUCGAAUGCUCUCCAAAGUCAGGCAGCUGUUAUCUGCAGUUUUAUUCUUCAAUGAAAAUUUUCUAAAAGAAAAGAAAAGAAAAGAAAAGAAAAGAAAAGAAAUUGUCAGUCAAGUAGCACAGUGGAUAAGGGGAAAGUCUUGGGGCCAGUGGGCUUGGGUUCAAAUCUAGUACUUUCUGUGUGACCAGGAACAAUAUACCCAGCCUCUGUACACCUCAGUUUUCUCAUCUGAAAAUGGGGCUCCAUUAAGAAUUACUUCACUGGGUUGCUAGAAAGAGUAAAUAUGCAGUUUGUUAAGCACUUAACAAAGAACCUGACGCUUGGUUAACAUGCUCAGUAAUUCUAGGUGACUUCCAAUGUGUCAUCUUUGCAAGAGAUUUUCUAGGAAAUAGAAGAUGAGUUUUGGUGUUAUUAGGGUGGGAACUAGGUACUGUGAAAUUAUUUUCCAAGAAUACAUGUCAAUAUGCAUGCUUGACAGCAGUAUAAGUAGGUUCCCAUCUCUCUGCAUUGUUGCUGGUGCUUUCUACUGUCAGAUCAGGCCUGCCCAGCGCACGAGGACACGUCCCCAUAUACUAAAUAUCUCCCUAUUUAAAAGUUUGGAGUUAAGAUACGAAGCAUCUAAGUAAAACUGGGACAUCUUGGAUAUCUUGGAUAGCAUCUUCCUCUGGAGAAUAUGGCUUCAUACUGACCUGGAGAACCAGAUGUGAACUUAGAAUUCUGAUUCCUUGGAGUUCUGUGCUAUGACGUGGCAACACGGAGCAUCGAUGGUGUCCUUGGCCUCUUCCUAUCCUCUUGUCCAACCCCCAGCUCCAUCCUGCACUGCCACAGGCCUUGCACGCACACGCGCAGGGCCCUGCCCAGCCACGCCUCUUAGGGUACCACACACCCAGGGACGUGUGGUCUGCUUUCAGGAGGACAGCCCCAGGGAAGAGGUCCGUGCAGGUUCUAGAAGCAGACUUCUCUGGAUAGGGUAGGGCUCUGGGUACCCCAAGGUGGGGGGGGGGCACGAUGUCUCUGAACACAUCUGUUGGCUCCGUGGACUUUUCUCUGCUGGAGCUGGUGGAGGGCCACGGUGGGCCCCCAGAGCUGUGAUGCUUGGUGAACUUAGAGCUUUUGUCCAUCAGAGGGUGCACAAUAGUAUCUCCUUGUUUUCAUUUGCGUAAUUCUGAUUAUUAGGAGGUUGAGAAAUUUUUCAUACAUUUUUGGAAUUUUUCUAUUGAGCUGAUGUUUUCCCUAUAGACUAAGUCUGUAUAUUUUUAUUUAUGUAUGUAUGUAUGUAUUUAUUUAUUUAUUUAUUUAUUUAUUUAGAGACCUAGAGAGCCAGCGGGGCUGAGAGGGGCAGAGAGAGAGAGAGAGAGAGAGAGAGGGAGAGAGAGAGAAUUCCAAGCAGCCUCAGCGCUGUCAGUUAACAGCCGAUAUGGGGCUCGAUUUCACAAACCAUGGGAUCAUAACCCAAGCCAAGACCUGGCCUCCUAACCGACUGAGCCGCCAAGGCGCCCUCUCUACAUGUUUUGAAUACAUAAAGAUACUUCAUCUCUUAGUAAGUAUCGCCAUUUUCUCCUCUCAGACUGGACUUUGUCUUUUGACAGGCAUUUUAAAUUUUGAUGAUGUCAGAUUUAUCACUUUUUUCCUUGUGAUUUUUGUUUAAGGAAUCUCAUUAUUCUGAGGUUGUAAAAAUAUUAUUCUAUCUUUUUUUUUUUUUCCUAAAGAUUUUACUCCCAUCUGGGUCUUUAAUCUAUUUGGAAUUUAUCUAAGGCCUUUACGUGGAUUUUCACAUUUAAUCCUGGCAGUCAUCUGUGAGUUAGGCACUCUUAUUUCCUAGUGGGCAGAUGAUUUGAAAGCUCAGAGGGGUUAAAUGACUUGCCCAAAGUCACACAGCUGGUGAGGGCAGAGCCAUGAGUGGAUUUCAGGUUGCGAUGUGCUGGGACACACACAGGAUUAUUAAAACUCUGGGGAUUUCUAGGGAGACCGAUCCAGGAAGUAAGAGUGAUGGGAAUUUUGAUUGGACAGCCAGCUCUCAUGGACCAACAGGUAAAGCCAGACAGAGGAUUGUCUCUCUCCCUCUCUUCUCGCCCUUCCCCCACUUGCUCUCUAUCUCUCAGAAUAAAUCAAUUAAAAAGAACAAACAACCAUAUAGAGACCCAGUCAAUAAGGAAAACAUCAACUCAGUAGGGCCUCGUGGAGACUGCAACACAGUUUAGGAAUUGCAUGGUUGUUACAGUUUAUCUAAUAAACGCUUCCAUAGCGUGUUAUGUGCCAGUCAUUGCUCUAAGCAUUGCAUAAAUAUUAACUCAAUUUAACUUUUAUAACAACCCUAUGAGGCAGGUACUAUUAUUUGUCCAUUUUACAGAUGGGAAAAACUGAGGCACAGUCAGGAACUUACACAAGGUCACACAGCCCCCGAUGGGUGGCAGGACCAGGAUUCAAACCGAGGUUGUCUAGUUCCAAGUCUGAGCGCGCAGUCACGGCUGUGCUAGCGAUGGAGUGUGGCCCCGCGGACCGUAUGGGGCCUCUCCACCAGCUGUGUCCUUCAUGCCAGGCUUCAGAGCUGUGCCUUUUGCUCAUGCCCUUUGUCCCUGCUUCUACUGCUCUGCAGCCGUUAACUGCCUCUUUCUCUGUGUCUCAAGGGCAACUUCCCCAAAGAGGAGACCUGGUCUUCAUCCAAUACAGACAUCUGUCUUAGCCAAGCUCCCGAGCCAGGCUAUCUCUGGGUAGCCAGGAGAUUGGCUGUUUUUAGGUGAGGUCCCCAAACAUUCAUGGUCUAACCAGUUACUGUUAUGGUGGUGGGGUCCUGAGGUCCAGCUCAUGCCCUAACUGGGCGGCAGGGUGGGGAUAUGGCACUUCUCUCACAAUGGGGCUGUGGCAUGGCAGGAUUUGGGAGUGCAGUCAAUUUGUCCCUGGGACCCAGGCAUGAGUGAAGCAUAGGGCUCAGUGCCAGCCCGGAAGCAGGACUAAAUCCUCCCAAGGGCAUCCAGCGUCUCGUCCUGAUGUGGUCUGCGAUUUUCCUAAGUGUUCCACAAUCGUGCUCCACAACUAAACAUGAAGACCACCUUGCCUUUCUGGUGCACAUCUCUGACUUGGUGUAUACAGCUCAUCUGUAAAAUGUGGUAAGUUGUUGAGAAUCGUCGAGGCAAAAGCUCAUCACAACUGUGAAGAAAUUCCUUCUUACGAACUUUCUUGUCCUCUUAAUUGGCAGGAAGUGAGUUUCUGUAAAGCAGGUUUGAGAUUGCAGGAGCAGAUGUAAGGCAGUAAGAGUAGGAACGGACCCCCAUUGGAGCCCGGCUUUCGCAUCACGCAGACGGACUCUGUCCUCUGUCAACAACGCUUCCUUCCUGCCCGCCCCAGAUUCUGGUUGCUUUUUUAAUCCAUGCCAUCAGAGAAGGCAAAUGCCACAGAGUGUCUAUUUCUCUUUCAGGGUUCAAAAUAUCAGUCACAAUGUUGUAGCCGAUGACCCUGGGUUGGCCGGUCAAGGAAACGCAGCCCAACCCACCACCGUCCCCAGGCAGUUUGGAAACAAAUCGAAUGGAGGGUGGGGAUGGAGGCAUGGAGGGCGCAAAGGGGAAAUUGUCCCUGGCAGUCAGUCCAGGGCCUUCUUACGCUGUCGGCGCGCUCUCUGAGGUUUCUCUGUAUUUCUUAAACAUGGCUUUUAAAUGGGGUUUGUGAUUUUGUAACACCCUGAAUUAAUUUACAGGCCUUUUGAAGCAAGAGGAGUUGUGCGGUGAGGGUGAGGGUUGGCCUCUCCUCUGGGGAGAGUGAGGCAGAGCCGGCCCGGGACGCUUCCCUGGGGGUUUGCACACCCUCGACCUGGGGGGUAGCCUUGAUUUCAUGUUUCCUGUGUUGUCUUUAGACCACUUUCCCCCACUUUGGUUUGGAAAGUCACCUUUCUACAACUUCCCCUUGACUUCAAUAAUCUCUUCCCAAGUGGCUAAGGCCCUCCUGUUACCUCAGCUUUUCGGUCAGAACAACUCACAGUGGAGUGCUGGAGGCUCCCUGAGUUGUCUGCAUGGCACAGAGGAGAGUGUUGGGGUGACACAGGCCCUCUCUCGGACGCGUGGGCCCUGACACGGAGUUCCUGGCAGGAGUGAAGGACAUGGUCUCACGUAGGGGUUGACAGAAGGUACUGACCUUACGGUCACUUUUUCCAUUCCUCAUAACUUACCCUCUGAGUGGGGAAGGGACGGUGGUUCCUCCCGGUCCCAAUCCCCUGUCCCUUUGGCCAACUUUCAUUUUGUGAUGGAAAAAAAGAAUACUGUUUACUUAGCAUUUUCAACGUGCCAGGCACUAUUCUAAACGCUUCAUGGAAAUAUUAACUCAUUUAAUCUAUACGACAACCCUGUGCGGUAGAUACGCCCCUUUUUGUUUUUUGGUUUUUUUUUUUUUUUAAUCCUGAUUUUACCAAGGAGGGAACUGAGGCACAGGGUGGCUUGUAGCUUUGCUUAAUGAUACAAGCAUGGGACCAUUACAGAGCUCUCCGUGGUGAUGUUCUGAGCCAGGGUCCCAAUCAAUCCGCCAUGUUGGCCUCCCUGACCUCACACCUCAGUCCCAGCCCACCUGAGCUUGCUGGGUUACUUAUGUUUGAGGACUCAUUGCAGUCAGUUGCUUCAUUUCACUUCAAGGUCACGUCUCUGCCUGCAAAACAGAAUCCAUCCCAGGGUACUGCAUGGAGGGGCCUGAUGUGCAAGGUGACACGACCCAUUUAAACAGAAAGUCAUUAUCAUUCAUUCUAAAAUGUCCACUCAGCUCCAGGGCAGGUGAGCCAGGAGGUCACCAUAAGGUCAGCCUCACUGUAGGUCUGUUGCUUUCACGGGCUUCAGACCCCUCACAUACCCUGAAAGCUUAGGAAAUUCAAAGUCAGUCGGCCCAUUGUUCUUCAGCUUCUUCAAAUUCUGGCAUAACCACCAAGCUAAUCUAUUUGGAGGAACACAGAAUCAAAGCCCGAAUAAGCAUGUUCAAAAGAAAAAAAAAAAAAGGUUUUGAGUUUCUCACCGAAGGACAAUCCUGAAGAUGCUCAGGGGAAAGCUGAGCAGACAACUGAGAUGAAUCUGAGCCAGUGCCCUGGGCUACACUGCUUUAUGCCAUCAUUACUGUUUGCCUGGUGGCUCUGAAUAGGCCUGGUUCUCAGUAGGACCUCCGUCUGUUGGUGUCAGUAGAGAGUAAAUGGCGGGAUGAAUAGUAUAGUAUAUAACCGGCAUCCUGCCCUCAGAGGACUGCAGCCCAGAAGCCGUGAGGCCCGGCUUCCCUGGGUGCUACCUUCUUUCCUUCCUCGCUUCACUGGUCUCCUCAGGUCGGGGCUGUAGGAAUUCCCUCCCUUCAGCUAUGUUAACAUCUCUCCACUCUUCUCGAAUCUCUGACCCCGCACUUCCUCCCUUCUCACUCUCAGAGCAAACAGAAACUAUGGGAGAGAACUUUGAGAACUUUCUGCUACCAAAUCUACAGCGUUCGUUCCUCCUCGGCUGUUCUCUUCAGAGCUGCUGCUGUGGAGAAGGUGGGGCGGCUCCUCUCCCUUCUCGUCUCCACAGGGACUUCUCUUCAUGAUUGAUUAUUCCUCCCCACUUGUGCCUUCCAGCUCCUUCUAGGGUGCCUUCCCAUCUGCAUUCAUACUUGCUUAGGUCUCAUUCACAAGUUCAACAAAAAUGCCCCCCCCCCGACUACAGGCUCCUUCCCUUCAUGGCCAAACUUCUUGAGAGUUCGUCUGCUCUCCUCACAUCUCAUUCAUUUCCUGAUUCUGUUGCCACCAACACGGUUCUUUUUUUUUUUUUUUUUUUUUUUUUUACUUUUUUU
This is a long non-coding RNA of Acinonyx jubatus (cheetah), 6203 nucleotides long. RefSeq lists it as uncharacterized. Lineage: Eukaryota; Metazoa; Chordata; Mammalia; Carnivora; Felidae. The record is from RefSeq and is a predicted model, not a curated record. The transcript has 3 exons.